UUGCAUUCCUGAGGUUAGCGGCGGACGGGUGAGUAACACGUAGGCAACCUGCCUGUACGACCGGGAUAACUCCGGGAAACCGGAGCUAAUACCGGAUAGGAUGCCGAACCGCAUGGUUCGGCAUGGAAAGGCCUUUGAGCCGCGUACAGAUGGGCCUGCGGCGCAUUAGCUAGUUGGUGGGGUAACGGCCUACCAAGGCGACGAUGCGUAGCCGACCUGAGAGGGUGAACGGCCACACUGGGACUGAGACACGGCCCAGACUCCUACGGGAGGCAGCAGUAGGGAAUCUUCCGCAAUGGACGAAAGUCUGACGGAGCAACGCCGCGUGAGUGAGGAAGGUCUUCGGAUCGUAAAACUCUGUUGUCAGGGAAGAACCGCCGGGAUGACCUCCCGGUCUGACGGUACCUGACGAGAAAGCCCCGGCUAACUACGUGCCAGCAGCCGCGGUAAUACGUAGGGGGCAAGCGUUGUCCGGAAUUAUUGGGCGUAAAGCGCGCGCAGGCGGCUUCUUAAGUCAGGUGUGAAAGCCCACGGCUCAACCGUGGAGGGCCAUCUGAAACUGGGGAGCUUGAGUGCAGGAGAGGAGAGCGGAAUUCCACGUGUAGCGGUGAAAUGCGUAGAGAUGUGGAGGAACACCAGUGGCGAAGGCGGCUCUCUGGCCUGUAACUGACGCUGAGGCGCGAAAGCGUGGGGAGCAAACAGGAUUAGAUACCCUGGUAGUCCACGCCGUAAACGAUGAGUGCUAGGUGUUGGGGAGUCCACCUCCUCAGUGCCGCAGCUAACGCAAUAAGCACUCCGCCUGGGGAGUACGGCCGCAAG
This 819-nucleotide ribosomal RNA is filed under the name Aneurinibacillus sp. RNAcentral's name for it is "bacterial SSU rRNA". It matches the Rfam family "Bacterial small subunit ribosomal RNA", at positions 78 to 892 of the family's 1533-position model. The record is from RNAcentral. Lineage: Bacteria; Bacillati; Bacillota; Bacilli; Caryophanales; Paenibacillaceae.